This 253-nucleotide ribosomal RNA is filed under the name uncultured bacterium. RNAcentral describes it as "partial 16S ribosomal RNA". It matches the Rfam family "Bacterial small subunit ribosomal RNA", at positions 524 to 776 of the family's 1533-position model. The record is from RNAcentral.
UACGUAGGGUGCAAGCGUUAAUCGGAAUUACUGGGCGUAAAGCGUGCGCAGGCGGUUGUGCAAGACAGAUGUGAAAUCCCCGGGCUCAACCUGGGAAUUGCAUUUGUGACUGCACGGCUAGAGUGUGCCAGAGGGGGGUAGAAUUCCACGUGUAGCAGUGAAAUGCGUAGAGAUGUGGAGGAAUACCGAUGGCGAAGGCAGCCCCCUGGGAUAACACUGACGCUCAUGCACGAAAGCGUGGGGAGCAAACAGG